Molecule: ribosomal RNA, 1826 nt
Filed under: Triticum aestivum (bread wheat)
Lineage: Eukaryota; Viridiplantae; Streptophyta; Magnoliopsida; Poales; Poaceae
Description: partial small subunit ribosomal RNA
Source: RNAcentral
GGAGGGGGAGGGCGGGUGAGAGGAGAGAAGGGGCGGAGGGAAGGUACUUUUGGGAUCGGCGGUGAUAGGCGGCUCGAGAGAACGGCGGCCGCCGGUUCGGGGAAGCGGUAGAGGAAUCGGGUCGGCCAGCGGCGGAGGCAGCAAGAGAUCCAUCCGUCGGCGAAGAAGAAGUGACUCGGGGCAGACGUAGCACGAACCGCGCUCGCAGAUCCUAAAGAUUGGUGAUCGCGGACUGUGGUGGCCUACCCCCGCCGGUCACGAGGUGGGGAACUGCGGCGGUUUAGGGGCAUCGCCUUCUGUAGCUGCUCCUGCGGCUGUUCCGUCGCGGCGGACAGCUGGCACACACGGAGGACGGUGGUGGUGGUUCUAGACCCUCUUUCUCAUCCUCCGUCUCUCCCUCUACCCCACCAUUCUUCUCUCCCACUCCUUCCUCCUUUUCCUCUAGGAGCGCCGUGAGUACCACCAGCGGGUCUAGGGUCGCCCCCACCGUAAGGUUGAGGUUGUACGAGACACAACAAGAUUUCUAAGGAAGUGCCGACGGAGGGUCGGUUUAGGUCGGCGGUUGGUCGUGCGCGAGCGGAACCAGAGGAGAAAGAGGGACUACCGGAGAAGAGGAGGUACCACGAUUGGUUUGCCUUCCCUCGUGACUGUGGCCCAUUGGCAACUACUACAAAUUUUUUCUGUGGUGGUUAUCGUCUCGUGAGAUAACGACGUUAAUGUACGUCGGGGAAGAGGCCUGUUCGUUUUCAGCACCGACGUUACCUAUGGCUAAUCUAAGAGCUGGUUCCAAACGGGCCCGGACGUAGGAGGUUAUUGUUCUUCUACACGGGUGGAUAGUUCUCCAAGAUUACUAGAACGUCAGUCUCCCUUUUAUUUGAGUGUUUUUAUACUCGGUCCACUGGUACUAGGUGAAGGUCGUUUAAACUGAAUAACGAGGGAUAACCCUUAUAAAUAAAAGAGUACAACAAAUAAGGAAACGUGUUUCCUUGACGUAACAACUUAGGUUUCCAUCGAUUUAGUACCCUUACGUUUUAACGUAUAAAUAGGUACACCCACACCUAAAAAUAUGAAACAACACUAAAUCUUUCACAUUAAAGUUACUGUAAGUCAACAUUAACGAGUCGGUUUAUUGGGUGCAUGCAACAAUUAGACUUCUGUUUAAUGUGUCAAGAGAGAAUUAUGACAGCAACGUAGUACACUCUGUUCAAUGAGGUCAACAUGUAUCCAUAGGUAGUAAAGGGAGUUCAUAGUUCACACCGACUAUACAACGAGAGUGGAUAUAGUAGAAAAAGAACGUCCGUGGAAUAAGAAAGUCGACGUUAUAAAUAAACCUAGAGAGUCAACACUUCACGGUAGUACACAGUUUUUGCGGGAAUAUAAUAUCCUGUCUCCCUCAUAAAUAUGAGACGUGCGUGUUACAAUGGCUAAACAAAAGUCAGCGUCAUACGGUAGAUAGACUUAAAACCUAUCGAACGUAUCACGGAUUAUUCAAGUACUCGAUUAAUAUUAUAAUAAAUAUCUCGAAGGUAUAUUAGUAAUCCUACUACUUCGUACAUUCAUAACAGUGAUGAUUAACGUAAUCGAAGCGGAGUCUUGAACCUUCCUCCUUCAUCUCAAUAGUUGUUACUAGUUGAUACUCCAUGGUAUCUAUAGCUGCAAACGUCUCGUAACAAAGGUUAACAGACAAUAGAGUAACACAAAUACUCGCCUAUGUAGAGGACAUUGGAAAUAAGAAUGUCAACGACUAUACUUGAUGAACCGAUAAAUAUCUUAAAUACUGAAAUACAAACAUGAUAAACUACGUUUAGUCAACAGGAGCCGCUUGU